GAGAGGUUAGCAUGUUUUGUUGUAGUCUCUGUUAUUGGUAAUGGUGAGAGGUUAGCAUGUUUUGUUGUAGUCUCUGUUAUUGGUAAUGGUGAGAGGUUAGCAUGUUUUGUUGUAGCCUCUGUUAUUGGUAAUGGUGAGAGGUUAGUAUGUUUUGUUGUAGUCUCUGUUAUUGGUAAUGGUGAGAGGUUAGUAUGUUUUGUUGUAGUCUCUGUUAUUGGUAAUGGUGAGAGGUUAGUAUGUUUUGUUGUAGCCUCUGUUAUUGGUAAUGGUGAGAGGUUAGUAUGUUUUGUUGUAGUCUCUGUUAUUGGUAAUGGUGAGAGGUUAGUAUGUUUUGUUGUAGUCUCUGUUAUUGGUAAUGGUGAGAGGUUAGCAUGUUUUGUUGUAGCCUCUGUUAUUGGUAAUGGUGAGAGGUUAGCAUGUUUUGUUGUAGUCUCUGUUAUUGGUAAUGGUGAGAGGUUAGCAUGUUUUGUUGUAGCCUCUGUUAUUGGUAAUGGUGAGAGGUUAGCAUGUUUUGUUGUAGUCUCUGUUAUUGGUAAUGGUGAGAGGUUAGUAUGUUUUGUUGUAGUCUCUGUUAUUGGUAAUGGUGAGAGGUUAGUAUGUUUUGUUGUAGUCUCUGUUAUUGGUAAUGGUGAGAGGUUAGCAUGUUUUGUUGUAGUCUCUGUUAUUGGUAAUGGUGAGAGGUUAGCAUGUUUUGUUGUAGACUCUGUUAUUUAUUAUCUAGAUCUUUUUUAAUCAUGGCAUCCUCAAAUCAAAUCAAAUCAAAUUUUAUUUG
Oncorhynchus tshawytscha (Chinook salmon) is the source of this 772-nucleotide long non-coding RNA. The record is from Ensembl. NCBI's taxonomy places the organism in Eukaryota, Metazoa, Chordata, Actinopteri, Salmoniformes, Salmonidae.